This 17-nucleotide ribosomal RNA is filed under the name Colletotrichum fragariae. RNAcentral describes it as "partial 18S ribosomal RNA". The record is from RNAcentral. Lineage: Eukaryota; Fungi; Ascomycota; Sordariomycetes; Glomerellales; Glomerellaceae.
CCACGGAGGGAUCAUUA